This 36-nucleotide long non-coding RNA is filed under the name Vicia faba (fava bean). The record is from RNAcentral. Lineage: Eukaryota; Viridiplantae; Streptophyta; Magnoliopsida; Fabales; Fabaceae.
AAACAACUCUUUGCCGUCUCUUUCUCCAUUUUGUGA